Molecule: transfer-messenger RNA, 350 nt
Filed under: bovine gut metagenome
Rfam family: transfer-messenger RNA
About the family: Bacterial tmRNA, also known as 10Sa RNA or SsrA, is named for its dual tRNA and mRNA-like properties. Its role is to liberate the mRNA from a stalled ribosome. To accomplish this part of the tmRNA is used as a reading frame that ends in a translation stop signal.
Source: RNAcentral
GGGGAUGAAAGGAUUUCGACGGGGACCCUGAACCAAGAUAAGCGAGCGGUGGCGGAGCACCACCUUAAAAGCUUCAACUUUUAAAAAUAGACGACGACACUAACGUUGCUCUCGCUGCCUGAUUAGGCAGCUGCUCCCUCGGGGAAUACUGCGGCCCUGAACGGAGUAUCAUGCAGCAGUAAAUGUGAACGGGCCAGUGCUCUGUAACCCGUCACAGACAACGGAGCUACCGAUGUUCUGAGCCCUUCGUUAGGCGCAUUACAGAGGGAAUCCCAGUAUAACGAAUACGCUCGUAGAAAGUUUUGGGAAUAGAUUUUCGGACGCGGUUUCGAUUACCGCCAUCUCCACCA